ACAGGAGCCCCAGCCCCACACAGCAACCACCCGGGCGAGAAAGAAAGAAAGAGCCAGGGAGGCGGGCGAAGCGCGGGGAGAGAAGCAGAGAAGAAAUAUUCACCUUCCCGCCUCAUGCCCACUUUGAGGCACUUCUUGAGGCGGCAGUAUUGGCACUGGUUGCGGUGGUGCUGGUCGAUGGGACAGUUCCUGUUGGCACGGCAUGUGUAAGUUAAGUUCCUGCGGACGCUCCUCUUGAAGAAACUUUUGCAGCCCUCGCAGGUAGAUGAAACUCAAGAGAAAAGGUGUGGAUAAAUGAAACUAGCCCAUGAUGAACCUGUUUUCUCCGUGACCACAAUAUUAACCAGGAUGAAUGGCGGUGGCAGUGGGCCUGCAUCACAGGUUGCAGCAGAUGUUCUCAAUAUUUCUAUUAAAAUUUCCUUAUUUCCAUAUGCAAGAGGAGCCCCAGAGCUGCAUCCUUAUGGUAGCUACCAUGCCGUGAUGUAAGCUGCCAUUCACUGGGGAGCUUUGGCAAUAGAAUUGGCUAGAUCAGGAAGCCUAUGUCAACUAUGGAACAACAACUUGCAGCUCAUCUCUAUUGAUGGUGAAACAGUCGCAAAUGGAAUUCCAAGAAACAUUCUAUAUACACUGCCUCUAGGACUGGGACAGAUAGCCACUGAGUACCUGCUUCAAAUCACCCUGCACGUUUUCUCUUUGGAAAGAUAAGCACUGGAGAACCAUCUCGUUACCUUCAGCAGAAAUGGAAACAAAUCAAGACAUUAAGAAUGCCGCAGUGGACAGCAGUUAUGCAAGGUUCAGCAGAGGAAGUUUUCAAGAUGGUGUGCCUCACUAGCCAGAAAUCAGAAAAGAUCGAAGCUAGCCUUUUCAUCUCAGCUGCUCCUUAAAUCAGUGCAACCCCUCCAAAUUAAUGUGAAUUGAAACUUGCAUUGCUUUUCAACUUAAUUGAAUACUUACUAUAUGUGAACCACUGCACAAAAUAGGGGAAGAAGAUGUGGGAGACAAAGAUGUGGAGCCUGUCUUCAAUAAAUUUACAGUUAGUUUCAGGGUACAUUGUUUUUCUUCUGCUGUUAAUUAGGUGUAUCCCCAAGACAAUAAAUACAUGAAUGGAAAAGUAUAUUCUGUGUUUUAAGUCUCUUUAAUAAAAAACAAAACAAAAUCCAAAAAAACUCCUAACAUGGCAACUCAGGACAUUUUAAUCCUUUUUUUUGUUGUUGGGCUUCUGAUAGGAUCCAUUUUAUUGAUUCCAUAAAUAUUUAGUAGACUUUAGACAUAUUAAUACAUUGUAGUUUGAGUUAAUUUGCAUUAAAUUCUGUUUUUUUCCCCUUAGGUAUAGAUUGUCUGUUGGAAAAAUAUAUUGCUUGUGGAUUUCUUGGGGAGUGGGAAGGUGAAUUAUACCUGUUGUCUCUACAGUCCACUACCUUCCACACCCUAGGGCAGUGGUCCCCAACCUUCUUGGCACCAGGGAUCAGUUUCCUGGAAGACAAUUUUUCUGUGGAUGGUGUGGGGAUGGUUUUGGGAUGGAACUGUUCCACCUCAGAUCAUCAGGCAUUAGUUAGGCUCUCAUAACGAGUGCGCAGCCUAGAUCCCUCACAUGCACAGUUCACAGUAGGGUUUGCGCUGCUAUGAGAAUCUAAGGCUGCCACUGAUCUGACAGGAGGCAGAACUCAGGUGGCAAUGCUUACUGGCCCACUGCUCACCUCUUGCUGUGCGGCCUGGUUCCUAAUAGGCCAUGGACCCCCACAGACGGGUACUAGUCUGCAGCCUGUGGACCCCAGCCCUAGGGGCCUGCCAUUCUGAGUGAGUUAUUAGCAUGAAGAAGAGGAAGAUCUGGAUCAAACGUGGGUGAUGGUACUCAGAGACCCAAGAUAGGAUAGGGAUGGAACAAAAUCCAUCUGGGCAACGGCUCUAUGAAAAUUUGGCUAAGUAAUUAUUUCAGUAUUCAUUGUAUUCAUUGUCCUUCGUGUUCCAUAAGUUAAAUGACUGUCUAAUUUUUCCAAAAAUUUAUUUCUGACUUGAGAAUAAGUGUGUCAUGAUUUUCCCAGUGUAAAGACACUGAUAUAACUGUAGAUACCAGACAUUUUAUGUAGUGUCUAUGACACAUUUUAGUAUGUAUGAGCCAACAAUAGACAUGUCUUUGUCUUGAGGAGUGUCCAUCUGAAUUGAAAAUGUGUCAGCUUUUUUUUAACAUCAUCAACAGACUUCUUAAUUAAGCUGCCAAUACAUACUGCCAAUAGCACUGUGUGCUGUCUGAGAAAUGCAUUGUGUAAGUGCUAUUUCCAUCUUAUUAAAUAAACAAUGUUGCUCUGUAUAAACUGGAUUUAAAGUGUUCUUUGAAUGAGGCAUUAUAUUGCUCCAUAAAUAAUGUGAUGUGAAUUCUCAUAUGAUCCCUUUUAACUUAAUUUCUAAAAAAAUAUUAUUUGCUCCUCAGUAAGGAAUAGCUCUAAUUGGACUGGUAACUUUAGUGAUAUGAUUUGUCUGUAACAGGCUGAAUCGCCCCACUCCCAAACUCCUGGUCGUGAUACUGGAUAUUUGUUAUGCCACUUUUAGUUUGCAUGAGGUAUCUUCCAGGAAGUAUUAGUUAUUAACUUGUGUUCUACUAAACUGUAGAUAUUUAUUUCCUGUUCUGGAAGAUUUCUUGGAGUGUCCAUCUGUGCAUUCCUGGUGCCUAGUGUAGUCUUGCUAAUGGAAUAGCACCUUUAUUGGUGCUACUUAGGGGUUGGUAGCUUACAAUCAAUCUACUUGGAACGUAUCCAAA
Homo sapiens (human) is the source of this 2755-nucleotide long non-coding RNA. Ensembl annotates it as NR2F1 antisense RNA 1. Its record names the gene NR2F1-AS1. The record is from Ensembl. Lineage: Eukaryota; Metazoa; Chordata; Mammalia; Primates; Hominidae.